UACGGAGGGUGCUAGCGUUGUUCGGAAUCACUGGGCGUAAAGGGCGCGUAGGCGGUCUGCUAAGUCUGAUGUGAAAGCCCGGGGCUCACCCCCGGAAGGGCAUUGGAAACUGGCGGACUCGAGUCCCGGAGAGGAGAGUGGAAUUCCUGGUGUAGCGGUGAAAUGCGUAGAUAUCAGGAGGAACACCGGUGGCGAAGGCGGCUCUCUGGACGGUGACUGACGCUGAGGCGCGAAAGCGUGGGUAGCAAACGGG
This 253-nucleotide ribosomal RNA is filed under the name uncultured bacterium. RNAcentral's name for it is "partial 16S ribosomal RNA". It matches the Rfam family "Bacterial small subunit ribosomal RNA", at positions 524 to 776 of the family's 1533-position model. The record is from RNAcentral.